AUCCAUCAAUGCAUGCAGAGACUUAGAAUGAAAUUGCCAUCUCAACCAUAGCUAGAACAAACACAGCUGAUGAAUAAAUGUAUAUUGGCUAGAAUAAAUACAAAGUGUAAUGCCAGAUGUGGACAGUGCAGAAUGCAGGAAGGCAGUAAACUGAGUAAACAUCAAAUGAGGGAUUAGCCUUAAUUGAGAGGAAUCAAUUUCAAUGAGAAACAGAACUUGGGAUCUCUUUUGCCCAAAAGCAGUUGAGGUACCUUUCUAGCUAGAAGAGAAGCUGCCUGAUCUGUCACUGCUUUCCCAUUUGAGGCUCGUCAGCAACAACCUGCUGCAUAUAACAUACAGUUCAGAGGCUGCCUUUACUUCUGACUAUCUCUGGCAGGGUUGUAGGCUUUGCAGCCCAGAAAACUUGGUUUGCAGCUUUUGUCUGAUUUUCUAGAAUGCACCUUUAUAUUCUCCAUAAAUAUCCAUAAGACCUUCUGCAGCAACAACCCCUGCAAUGCAAUCACACAGGGUGUCUCUUUGUCAGUGGUAGGAAGUAUGUUUUUAUAUUUCAGUCUCUCACAAAGUCCAAAUAACUAUAAUGGAGUCUUCUGGAGUUAGUUGUUCAGAAGCAAUGUUUUUGUAGUUCAGAUGAGACACUUCACACAGAUGUGUCGAUUCCCUGUGUUUGUGUGCUUCUCAAAGUGUUUAGGCUUUCCAGAUUCUUUAAAAAAGAUACUUCCAGUCCUUUUCCUACUAAGGUAACACUUGAAAAUAUAAAGCAAUUAUAAAGCCUAGUUGUGCAUUGGACAUUCACACUCCUCAAACCCACCAAAACUAUGGUUACUCUUCUGCUGCCUCUCAGAGGUCUACUGUGUCCCAUGAAACUUAGAGUGAUGCACCCUAAAACCUUCUUAUAUAUUGUUGUGCAGCUUUAUUGUAAGUAAGCAUGGGAUUCACCUCACAGAUUAAGACACCAGUGCUCAGAGGCUUGAUUUAGUUGCCCACAUGUGGGAGUCCAGCACUAUUUGAAAUGCUCAAGUCUUCCAUCUGGACUCCAGCUGCUGCUCUGUAUUGGUAAAGAAGUCCCAUACGUGGUGUGCUAUCCUUACCAGCCCUGCAUGGGUUUCUUGGACACCCAAUUGCACCUCAGAUUACACCAGUUGUAGUCAGUGGGCAUCUAAUCAGUACACUCAGAGGAGUCUCCAGGGAGUGUCUAACGAGCUGCCCAAAUGUACGUGUCUACUUUUGAGUCAGUCGAAUGGCUUCGUAGCCUUUGACCACUAACUCACAAAUUGACACCUACAGAUAGACACUAAAAUUUUUUCUCUUAUUCCAGGAGCUAAUUGCCACCCUACAUGUCAUUUGUUUGCUAUACCAUGCCUUUCUGGAAUGUCCUGCACACCCAGCACAGGGAGGAAGUGCUGAACUGAACUGGAAAGCUGUUACGUUGGUCUACAGACAGGCCAAUGCAUACCCAACUGUGCACCCACUCCUGUGCCGUGUGACACCCUGCUGGUUCUCAGACGUUGUGCUUAUUUGGAACUUUUUGUCUGUUCAUCAGCUUCUGGUGUUGCUGCCAUUAGUAAGCAGCCCUGGCACCGGUACCCGGGCUCUGCUAUGGUUGCAGUUAACGUGGGUAGAUCAGCUAAAUGCAAGUAAACUCAAGGAUCUUCUCGUUGACACACCUCUGACUGUUAGCCGAGUGAUCAGUUGGAGACUGGCUAAGGUUUCUAAGGUGACAUGAAAUUAAGCAAGUUGCAAAACAUGUAAACAAACUAUAAAGAAGAGAAAGUAGGGGCUUGCUAACUGAUCCAGCUGCAAGUUCCAGACUGAUGCAUAACUUGCCAACAUGAAGAUCACUGCAGGAUCAGGUCUUAUGAAGGAAGCACUCCCUCUUCUCUUAAUGACAGCAUCAUUAGUAGUGCAGGUAUAUAGAUCUUUUAAACUAAUAGUGCAACAGAUUGUUCCUGCUGCACUUAACAAGCAGUUCAGUAUAACAGCCACAAGCUAAAAUAUUUGCAAGUUCGUGAACUUCAAAGCAAACUUUGCUUCUUUCUAAAGAGACUUACAAACAACUAGGCAUAUUUUCUCCCACUUCAUCUUUAAAGAAAUUACAAAAGAAUAUAUACAGCAGGCCUGAAAUUCCUGCCAGUCCUUCAUCUCAAUUUUCUUGGCAUAUUGAGAAGGAAUCUGGAUGCUGAAAUUUACUGUUAAUGAGUACCUUAUUUUAUGGAUGUGUUCUUGUUCUGUGCACUAAUGCUUAUGUGAACUGUUUGUGUUCUUAUGGAGGGCCAAAAAAGCCACCUAGAAGAGAAAUGCUGAAGUAACCAGUGAAAUAUUUUACUACUUCGUUGGGUGUUUUUUUACUUUGGAAAGUAUGGGUGGUCAUUAAUUGAGCUAAAUUUCUUUAUUGAUUUAUGUAUCAGUUGAUUAUUAUUUUAAUUCUACAAAUUAUCUGCAGUCUUCAGUUCAAGGGCUAGACAACCGCGGGAAAAAUCGGUCUCCUGUGGCUUGUGAUGGAUUAAAUGUAGAGGCAGCAAAUAUUAAGGAGCUGUUGGUCAAUGCAAACAAAAGCUGCAGGUAGUAGUUUGAUUGGAAACAAUGAUGUAGAUGAAGUGUAUCUAAACACAACGUCAAGUGUAAAGCAAGAAUGUAAAGAAGUGGCAAGGACAGCAACUCCAGAAUGGAACAGAUGAGGGGAAGCUGAAAACACUUGCCUAGAAAUGAAAGAAAACCAAACCCCACCAGCAGUAGGCAGGAAGGAUUAAAAGAAGUAAGAUAAAAAAUAGAAAUGCUAUACACUUACUGCUGAUUUCCAAGAAUCACCAAGUGACUGUUGUUGAAAGCUGGACUAAAAGCAAAGGAGGUGAAAAGCUGGAGGACUUUUUGAGGGGAGAGUAAAAGAAUGUGUCUGCCCAUUGAAAGACAACCAUUUCUGCUGGUUUCAUCAGAACAGAAUUGAACCCUCUGUGAGCUAUGGAGAAAAAAAAUCAAUGCUUUUAUCUUGUUGUGGUCCUAAAUUUAUAUGUGAUUCAUAUGAUGUUUUACAUUCUGUAAAUUGAGUUUUUAUACUUAGGAAAAUUUUACAGGACUGAAGACUCUGCAGUGUCUUUUCUCGUUCCUUCACUGGUAACAGCAGCAUAGUCUUCUCCAUACUUUGUGCUUUAGUGCCUUAAACCCCAAGUACUUCUAGCUGGGAAAAUGCUCUAGCCUCUAUGUCUGUUAGCUCAUGUCCUCUUCUGAGGGCCUAGCAAAGCUGUUCUUCGUGUUGGAGAUUUUUUUCCAGUUCAUUAGUAAAACUGGAAUUAACUGAUUAACUUGCUGCACCAAAUCCCUGAGUAGAUGUGAAGUAGAUGCUGUUUCAUGCAGGGUGGGAUGCAGUGAGCAAGGCUGUAAAGGAUUCUGCCUUCCUUUACAAACUCCUGUGAGUCUGAUUCCAACCAAACUUAUGUGUUCAUUUGUUUUCAUUCAUUACAACUUUAAUAAGUGUAAUAGAGGAGCAAAGUGUCUCUAACUCCUGGGAGAAGGGGAAGGGUAUUUUUUUCCUGUCUCAUGUAGUGUCACUAAGUCAAACCGCCCAUGCCACGAGUUCAGAAGUUGCAGUGAAAGCACUGUUACUUACAGGAAUGCAAGAAGGAGCUGGAAUACAGGUUUCCACCUGCAAGCAUAGGUCUCGUUGGCUGAGGAGACAGAUUUACCUCUUCAGUUCCUCCUCACCCUCUCGCAAUUAGAGCAGAGCUACAUGCGAGCAGGGCUGGGCAGCUCUGACUGAGGAAUAAAUACCAUGCUGACAAGGUGCCAGCAUCCCAUUUCAGACCAGCAGCCUUUCCCCUCCAUCAGCAUUACCUUUGGCAUACAUCUCCAAGGGUUUAUAGCUAGGUGGCAGACAGGGAGAUAUGACAUCGCAAUCUCAGAAUAUUAGGUCUAGUGAUCUUGUAAAUACUUUGUGUGAGCUAUUCACGGAGGUGAAUGUUUGUAUACUGGGUUAAAACACUUUCAAGCACGAUUGCAUUGUUCUUCAUAGUAGCCUAUAGGAAGAAGCAAGCAGGGGAGACGCAUAAUACCUAGAUAAUAGAUAAGCAAUCCCUUUGCAAAUAUUAGGGAAGCAAUUGCAACACAAUGCCAUACAUCCAUGCUCCAGGCUGCAUUUGAACAGCUAUUCUGCCUGAGUUGGGAAUAAAGAGGUCUAAAGUGCAUUGAAUAGUUAAAAAACUCUUUCCAAGAAAGGAUGAGAUCAGUUGUCAGUAGGUGUCCCAGACACAGAGAAUGCCCAGCUUCUUUAGCAUCUGUCCUCAGAGACUCCGAGCAAGUGCAUCUUCCUCAUGAGCACUGAGGAUUUGUCUCCCCUCCCCCUGCCCUCCUCUGCUCUCCAAGGGGCAAGUCAACAUCUCAGCUCUUUGCUAUGCAGGAGGGCUUGGUUUUAACCAGCUCAGAAACUCUGCUGCCUGGAGAGGAGUGCCGCCGCGGAGACAGCAUGUGUGAUUUCUUGAGGAUGCUGAUCACAUUUCCUCUUCAUAACUGCCUGGUGCCGAAGGGCAUGCGGAAAAUCUUGGUAGAAACCAUCCAUUUGGUGUGCGAGGCUGCCACAGCGGCCUGCCGCAGCAGGACUUAGUAACCAGGACUUGAAACUCGCCUGGGCUUUGCUCUCAGUUCCACAUUUUUGCUGCAGCAGGCCUAGUAUCACUUCACAGGAUGGGGUCCUGUCUGAAUUAAGAGGGACCAGAGAGGCCCAUAGGUAGCGUGGUAUUUGUCUUUGCUCUGUAUGUCCUUGCUCGAACAGUUAACAUUGCGUUAGGUGGUAGGAACUUUAGUUAACUUGAAAGCUAAGUCUGGACAAAUGGAGUGGGCUGACUCUGACUCAGCAGCUGUUUUUCAUGGAUAGGUAAAACAAAGUCAUUACGGGAAGGGUUUUCUUUUGCAUAAUCUAGUAUACAAGUUCCAUAUGUUCUUUGCAAUGUUUCUUUGCAGAUGUUGUUUCUUCUUGCAUUUCUUUCUAUUUCUAUACAAAGAUUUUUUUUCCCAAAUUGCCCUAAGUAUUUUAAGGAUGUUGUACAUGCUCAUCAAGUGCUUCUUUAUUCUUCAUGGGACUCUUGUCAUGCAUCCCAGGACAGGUUUGGAUGCACUCAGGGUAAUGUUUCUGAGUAACUGUGCUGGUGGAGCUGUCACUGUGCCUUACAGCUGUCUAGCCUUCCGGAAUUAAAUGUAUAGAAGGAAUAUCCUGAGAUGAGGACCUUUGUAUCCUUAAAUAUGAGAGGCUUAAAGAUGUUAGGAUUAUUAAAGACAUGUUUGUUUGGCUAGUCCCUCUAAUAAUGGAUACUUCUGAGAUAAUUCACCCAUGAGAAGCGCACGUGUCCUACCAGUAGUUUUGUUGCUCCUGUUCCAAAUAAGUAACAAAUGCAUCUUGAGAAUCAUGACGGUGCACCUUACUGCACUAAGCACAGACAAGAAUACUUUUUCCCAGGAACUAAUCCAGCACAGAUUCUGUCACCUGGUUAUAAUGCAGCAUCUAGUUGAGGUAUCAGUGACUAUAGGUGGUCCCACAUCUCUCAGGGGGUUGUCUUAUACCCAGUUGGAGCUCCCCCAUAAGACAACCCUUAAUUGUUGCUCACUAAUAAAGUGUGUCUUUUAUUACUGGAGACACUAUGAAAUAUUUGUGUCAGAUGAGAAUAAGAAAUCUCACAGUUUCUGCUGCAAGCUGUUCCUGGUUCUCUGUGACUUGGUCUUAUGCUCCAUCUACCUUUAGACAGCUUUACUUUGAAUAGCAGGUGCGUGUUUGAUACCAGUUUUGGCAGAGCAGUCCUGCAGUCAUUGUUUUAAGUGGAAUGAGUGCUGAGCUCUAGGAUCUGAGUGAUGGCUGAGUGACAUUCACAGGAUGUAAAAUAGAACUUGGGAAUGGCACUAACUGGGUCAGACCAAUGUCCAGCUGCCCAUGUGUUCUGUCUCCAAAAGCAGAAACAGGAGAUGUUAUUUAGGGAGACCGUACUAGCCUGGCCACUUUCUGUAGUCCAUUCCCCUUGACUUCCCCAGCACCCAGAGCAGUUGUAUUAGGGAUGUUAGUGUGUAGCCCUGCUUAGCCCUUUCAGUAUCUGCUUAUGGACUCUUGGUCCAUCAAGUUACCUCAUUUUUUUUAUGAUCCUACAGACACAGUCUUCCUCCACAGCCUUCUGCAUCGGCAAGUUCCAGAAGUUCACUAGGUGCUGUGUAAAGAGCUCCUGUUACCUCUUUUAAAUCGAUCUCCUACUGGUUUCAUCAAGUGACCCCUAGUUCUAGUAUUGCAAAAGUUGUUGAAGAGUUCUGCUUUCAGCUUUUCUGCCACCUUCAUGAUUGUAUAAACCUUACUUAUAUUCCCUCUCUCAGCUAUCUUCUCUUCAAAUUGAAGCCCUAAUCUUUUCUAGUUGCUCAUUCCUUCUUAGAGCAACUGCUGUAUCCCUUUGACUGUUUUAGUUGCCCUUCUCUGGACAUGCAGUAACUCUACUACAUCCGUCUCAAAAUGCUGGGACCAGCACUGUGAAGAGUACUUAAGAUUUGAGAGGGAUGCCACAGACAGUUUGUCUAAGAAGAGUCUUUAGUCACUUGCCCCAUAAACCCACUGUAACUCUGAUCCUGAGUCAUUGUCCAUUUGUAAGCCAUACUGCUUCCUUCUGAGUUACAGAGUUGAAUGGAUGUUAUGCUAGGGUGCAGGAGGGGGAUCGUGUAUGCCGUAUCUUUCUGCUUUCCAAUCUAAAAUGCCAGAGUCUGCCACGACACAGUGUUAACUCAUACAAAAAAAAGUAUUGGGAUACAUCCAGACCAGAAGCGGAAUACAUAUUGACAAACCAUCUCAAAAAUCUACACUAACUAUAAGUAACUAACUAUACUCUUCUCUUUAGUCAGUAUAUGUCUAACCUUACACAUGUAUAAUGAUACCUGUUUUUAUAGAUCAUAUUUGUUCAAUACAUUAUUACUAGGGGAAAAGCGUAGUUUUCCAAUAAAGCUACCUCGUGUUGUCAUAUCAAGGCAGUCUCUACAUAUUCAUUGCAGAUGGCGUAUUACAGAAAUAAACUAUCUUAUAUUUAUUCUUCAACAAAUAUUGAACCAUUGCUGUUAAAGCAAAGUUCAGAUCCAUACAUCUGAUGAACUGAAGGAAACUGUUAGAACAUAGUUGCCAUUAACACAGUCUCUCUUUAGCAAUCUUUUGCAUUGAUGGAUUUACCAUUUUGUGGUUAAACAAUUUUUCCUCCUGGAAUAUUUCUAAAACCACUUUCUGAUAGAAAUCAGGAAAAUUGAAGUUCAUCUUGUACAUCACUACUUUGGACAGCUCUAUCUGGAGAAAAAUAAAUAUAGCAGAUAUAAAUGAAAAGAAAAGGGGACAAAACAAUCUGAGCUGGAAAGAGAAGAGUGCAAGUUUAUUUUAUUUCCUUGGUUGUGUAGGAGUCUUGUUAACCAGUAUGUAAUGCAUAGUCAUGUAAUAAAACAUGCUAGACAUUAAAAGGCAAAAACCCAGUUCACAGAUGUUGUAACGUUAUGAGAUAAUUUUAGGGAGUGAAUGGGGUGAAAAGGCUGGAUUUGUUAGAGAGGAAAAUACCUAUGGAGGCCUUUUCUGUGAGCAAUACCAUGACUUCAUUACCAUGUCAAUUCUGGGAAAAGGCUCUGAUUUAACACAGCAGUUGGCUGGAUCCAUAUGGAGCUGAUGAACCUCUGAAUGAAUAGUGAAUGGAAAAACUGCUGGAAUCUGCCUUCAGCUUUGUUCCCAGGAUGACCAAUGUAAAAGGCCUAAGAGCAAUACUGCACAGAUGGUGUAAAGAGGUAAACUUCUGAUUUCAUGAAAGCUGCAUUUCAAAGGGGUCCGAAGUGCCUGUACUGCUGUACCAAAGGGUCUCCACCACCUCUGCUGUUGAACACAAGACCUCGCUGUUUCUGUGAGUGUGGCCAGAUUAACUCCUAUGAGGCUGCACUGAAAAUCCCAGUUUGCAAGGAGGGGGUACUGUUCAUCCAAAAUAACAAGCAACAACAACAAAAAAUCCUACUGAGCGUGCUUAGUGGGACCUGCUAAGGCUUUUGUCAGGAACUAAUGACUUUGACCUCACUGUCCGAUCCCUCAGCAUAGAGAUACACAACUGCUUUAUUAUUUGCUGAGCUCCGGGAGAGUACUUGGUCCUGUACAGAUAUACAAGGAGAAAAUGCUACUGCCCCAUGGAGCCUACAAUAGACUUGGCUGAGUGAGACAAUAGGUAUUGAGCUGUGUGAAAUACACGGGUUGAAUAUUCACGUUUCUUAUUAACGGAGAUUAAAAAAUCUCUCUAUAGCAUUAUGAUUAAGAUGCUUUGUGGGAGAAAUGCACUGCAAGUGAAUGAAAAAUGAGGAGAAAAGUAACUUGGUGAAUAACGAAAGAGAGAGCAAAGCCUAAAAGAGGGGGGGCAGAAAGAUGAGAAUGGGAGGAGGAUUCAUGUGGGGCAUUUUAGAGAUAGCUUGGAAGGAGGGAGGAGAGGUUGAGAAACUUGUGCUUUUUGACAGAUAUGAUAGAGGUAGGGAAGGGAGUAGUAAAGGAAGAUAAGCGGGUACAGAACAAAGCACAGCAGUGAUUUUAGCAUUGUGAUUUGUACUGGGAGAUGUGGUUGGUUGCAUAACUGGGGAAAAUGAUGACUACUGAUGUCUGGGGAUGCAGAAAAGAUGGAGAGGUGAAGACGAGCUGGUGAAGAAUAAAACUGCAUAAGGUGUAGUUUCAAGAGUCUAUGAAGUACAGGAGAUUGGAUAUCUUUUUUUUGAGAAAAGAGAACUGUUAGUGAUAAAGGAAAUUCAGAGGUUGAUGCUAUGAUAUUGUAGGAACAGGUGAUGUGAAAUUUCAGUGAAAGGGGAAGAAGAACUGAGAUAAAAGGCUGGGUUUGGAAGCGUGUAAAUGAAAAUGUGGCAACCAUUUCAGGAGCUGCCAUUCAUUAAUUAACUAAUUUAUUAGUUGGCUUUAAGCUCGGUCAGACUUUCUCUAAAGCUGGAAGAUUCAGCCACGCCUUUUCCUUAGAAGUAAAGUAGGAAAAAUCUCCUACUGAAAAUUUUUUUAUUAAAUUUUUUAAUGGAAGAUAACUUUUUUCCUCUGUUGCUCAAAGGUUUUGCUAAAAUUGAAGGCCCUGAUCGAUAAGACGUUGAGGAUUCUGCAUCUUUGCAAGCACAUGCAGUAAGAAGGCAUCUUAAAAUCCAUUUCUUCUUGUGAAAGAUGAACCACAAUGGCUGACAAAAUCAUAGCCACAAGGCAUACUUGAGGUGGCAUUCUGGGCCGGAAAACCAUCUUGCAGUGCUGCAUAGGCUUAGCCUGAAAAGCAGACAUUGGUAUCCUCUUUCUGUGAGUAUUGAUGGAUUAUUUUGGGGGAGACUGGGGCCCACAUCCUCAAAAGUAGGUAAGUACCACGUGCGAUGGAAUUCAAGAAGAACUGGGCAGCUGGAUAGCUAUGAGGAUCCCACUUUGCAUUUCCAAUUAUGCAAAGUCCUAAGAAUACCUGCAGGAUUUUGAAAGUUCACAAGCUCUGUUACAUUUAAUGAUAAAGGAAGUAGUUUUGCAAUUUUUAAGUGUAGCGCAUUAGCUGUCACUAGUGCAAGAUAAUACUAGAUGAAAGUUUGCUUUCUAGCUGAGCAAUAGGUUUUGUAGAGAGGAAAGUCUAACGCACUGAAAUGAGUGAAGAAAGGGGCUAUUUCUGUGUUUCGGAGCUACAGGUUAUUUUAGUCCAUUAUUGUACCAAUAUCAGAUAAAUAAGAUUGGUCAUGUAAUAAUAAAAACAGGUUUUGUUUUUAUUAAGAAGCAUGUAUUUUCCACAUUUUUCCUGGAAGGCUACUAAGAUCUUCCAUCCCAUGUUCGGUAUGUGCACAUUUGUAAAUCAGGCAUGAGUGAUUACUUCUGUUAGAAUUAUCUAAGGAAAACUGAAGCACCACAGUCAUGAAACAAGUUUGUAUUUCCCUUUUUAUUUAAUAUAAUCCUUAUUUUGGGAUACAGUCCAAUACUGUGAUUUCAUAAUAUCCCCUAACCUCUGUAUUCUGUUUUGUAAUUGAAGGAAAAGUGAUGACAGAAAAUCUUCCUAAUGUGAUCACAUUCUUAUAUGUAACUGUAAAAAGAAAAAUCCAAAUCUUGCUUCUUCAAAUUAGAGGAGUAGGUCCACUGCAUUUGGGCUGCAGAUUCCUACACAUGACCAGUCUUCAGUAGUGAACAAAAAUGGCAUCUAAAUCCCAAGUGACACUCUUAAGUACUUGGCAGCAGAAGGGCUCUUCUGAGGAAGAUUAAGUUAAUGGAAGCAUUUGGGUAACAUCUGCAUGACUCUUCGUCCUGGUAUGGCCAACUCACACUGCUGCAACACGUGACGGAGGAUUUCUUCGAUUAUCACUUAAGAACAAAACUGGCUGAAGUUCCUUUCCAGGCAUUCGUCAGACUGUAACGUCACCCUUUUAGAGGCAGUGAGCUGUGUCAUACAGUCUGAAGGAUUCUGGAAACUUGCUGCUGAACAGGAUUUAGAGUGGCUUAGGAGCAGAAAAUAUCUUCUCUUACUUGCUGUCUGUUGAGAAGCGACCCUGCUGAAACUCCUUUCUUGCUGCUACUCCUAACAUACCCACCAGGGAGAGGAAACUUUUGCCACAAGCCCUUCAGCAGAGAGCGGAUCCAUUGGGGUCUCAGUUACAUGGUGCGGUCUGGUGCCCAGUUUAACUUUGCUUCGUCUUUCCAGCGGUCCCAGAACUCUUCAAAAAUGUGGGUGGAGAUGCAUUACACAUGCUUACUAUGGUUACUCGCCAUGAAAAACAGUAUGAACGGCCAACACGGACUCCAGGUGGUGGAUCAACAUUAAUCAUAAUAGACCCAGGGGCAGACGAUUGGCAAGAUACCACAAGAAAUGGUUCUACAUCCAUCCCCUUGAACUCUGUUUCCUCCCAUUGGGGACAGGGAUAUGGAGGUUUUCUCUGCAUGGUUUCAUGAAGGAUAAUUUUUGGAGGAAAGUUGCACAGGAGGGGAAGAGGGUUCAGGAGCAAGACAGAUCUCCACGAAGUUAAAUUUAUCUAUUCACUGUGAACCCAGAGCCCGACAGUUGAUCAUGACAUAUGUAUCGGCCCAGAGGAAGGAAUAAGAGGACAGAUGGCAGAAAUUUCCCAAGGGAGAAAAGAGAAUUACUAGAGAAGAUCAGAAUCAGACCUGCACAGACUUGGUGUGAGAACCAUAUGUAUGGGAAGAAGUAACCUAGACCCAAGAUGCAAGUUCAUGGAUUGCAAGACAGGAGGCCAAACACUGAAAAAGCAUCUGACAAAAGUCUUCUUGAUACGCAUCGAAUCCUGACCUGGGCUGGAAAGUAAUUUUUGUGAACAUAUUUACAGAAUGAUGUGUAACAGAUCUAGCGAAGGCUGAAGGCUGGUAAUAGUGACUGAUGUAGUACCACAGAGAAAAGAAACCUGAACACUGCUCUCCGAGGAGGCCGAGCGAGGAGUGAGAAAUAAAGAUGUAAGAAUCAGUGCUUUGGAGGAUGCCCUGUUACUAGACGCUAAUGCAUGUGAGGAAUGCUAUCUUCAGCUGCACUGCUAGCGGAGUUCUGCAAAGUCCACUCCACGAAGACAUUUGUAGUCUGAACAUGGGACCUCUUUUGCUUCAACGCGCCACUGGCAGCAGCAGUAUCUCGCUUCCUCCUCUGCUGUCUGCAGACCAGAAACAUCGCUAUCUCCCAGCCACGGCAAACCGAAGAACCCAAUCAUCCUUAUCUGCUCUCAAAAAUGCACCGUGAGGAAUGUCCCAGAAAUGGUAACUUCCUGAUGGGACUCACAUGCUCCAUCCUAAUGUCUGUGGAUGGCUCCUGAAUUUUUAAGCAUUGAUAUGCUUUUUUUAGCAUUGAUAUGAAAGAUGUUCCCUUACAAAAGGAGUUCAUUAGUUGAGCAGUGCUCUUUCACGGCAUUGUAGGAAUCAGUGCUCCAGAUAAGAGCACUUUCUGGUCUGGUGCCUAUCUUCAGAUUUGCCAAGGGGGGCAACACUGUAUGGCAAUGGGAAGAUUCUUUAAAAGCCCUGAUUAGGCAUUAAUGCAGGUGCUAAUUUCUGCCUUUAAUGUACCUCUGAUAAAUUAUUAUCAUAGUCCAGUGAUUUGUAAGGUUUGAGGUAGGCUGUCUGGUGAGGGAUGGAUGAUUCCACUGGACAGUCCGCCUCAAACCUUAUAAAUUGCUGGAAGUAGGGUUUUGGAGCAGGAGCCUGGAUUUAUUCAUAAUUGUGUAUUUAUGUAUAUAUGUUUUUGGUUUAAUAGGUGCGAAGAGUAUAAAACAGGGUAAGCAAACUAUUGCUUCAAAGGGAAAUGUUUAAAAAAAGUUUGAGAACACCCGUUCUAAUUAUUGUAUAUGACAUUAAUUUUAAUUUCCAAUUAAACUCUGAGCUAGAGAAUAUCUUCUUACACACAUGACUUCUGCUGGUCUCCUGCACGUUAUGGGAAAGAGCAUGUUUUGCUAUUUUAAAAUUAUGUAUUUAAUGUCCUUGUAAAGUUUCAUUUCUCUCUCUUUAGUUCCAACCCAGGUAAGAAUUUCUUUUUUAAACCUCAUAAAUUAGGGAAAUUUCCUAUUAAUUCAUCUGGCAUAUCCUUUGCUAGCAAUGUUAGAUUUUUUUUUCUGUAUGUAUUGUAUAAUUGGUAGUUGACCCCACUUAGUUCUAACUGUCAGAAGAAGCAGAAACCCCUCCAGUUUCCAGAACCUGCUCCACAACUUUGCAGACUGUGUGUAUUCCAGUCACAGUCUCUAUCUGUACAAAAUUUGGAAUAAAUGUAUUGAAGUCAACAAAGCUGUUUUAGUUUAACAUAAUGUAAUAAUAGACUUUGUCCUCGAACUCCAUCUAUCAUUCCAGCACUCGUUAGGCAUUCUGGUUUUGUUCUUAGUAGGAGCCAUCAUAAAGAAAUUGAUUUCCCUCUGCUCCCUCAUCCAAUUUUUUGCAGGAGAACUCCAUGUUCAUUUGCCCAUUACGCAGCAUUUUGUGGGGUGAGAAGGAAAUAAGCCAAAAGAAAUCAUCAGAAGAAGUAGUUAUCAUGUUGGAUGAGAGACUGUUCUCGUUUAUUUUUGGCAUAAAUGCAGAACAGUUCCACUUCUCCCUGAGGAAUUUAUUUGCAUUUAGUUGGGUGAGACAAACUCCAGAUUGUACUCUGAACCCCAAAACUCACCUUCUCUACCCGUUUGCUGCACUGAGUUAUGAAAGAGACUUCUUAUGAUCUUGUAGCCUACGUGUUAUGAUUUCCAUUACCUCUGCUGUUCCUCCCCCUCCUUCAUUGCUAGUUGUGUAGCCCAAGUUGGGCAGCCAAGUAACGUGUCCUCCAUGGCUGUUAAAAUUACACUAUAAAUAGGCUGGGAAGCAAUAUAGUUGGAGCAAAGCAACCGGCACAGUCCUCUUUCCUCUCCCCAGUGGCAAAGUUGCUCAUGACCACAACGGACCAGGUCUCUGUUAUCCGGAGAGUGUAACCAUGGGGUUGCUUCUGCAUCUGGGUCCUUCACAGGGUUGCACAAAUCAUGGUGCGUUUCAGUAAGGAUGCCACCAUCAGUGUGCUGAACGUCAUACAACGGCAAUGACAGAAAACAAGAGUCCUCUCCUCCCGCACUGCUCCGUGCUGUGAACAAAACAGCGUUCUCGGUGGAGCCAAACUGAAAACUUUCUGCACAGUUGGCUCAGUUAGAAAUUUGCCGUGAGGAGUGCAUUAGCUGGUAAAUCUGUAAGCUGUGAAUUGCACAGAGACUUGACACGACAGUAGAUUAAGUGAUCCAGUAGAGGUUUUGCUUUACCUUUAUGCCACUCAUUGGCUUCCUGUUUAGCUGCAUCACAUGAAAUCUUCCCCGCCUCACCUUCAGGGCCUUACAGAUGUUGCCCUCACUGCCAUGUCACCUUCCUGUACUAGUUUACCAGCUUCAUAUCUGUCCCCUGCCUAGAACUUUGUGCUUUCUGUCAUGUAUUUUCUAUCCCUGGCACAAUUUUUCCCCAGAAAAUGGACCUGCUUCUGUAUGUCAGUAAUUCUUUGCCCACCUACCAUCCCUUUCUCGCCUUCUCCAUCUAGCAUCAUUAGGUCUUUCAGUAGUGAAAUAGCUUGUUUUGGUUUGUUGUGGAUGCUGUAUAUUUAUACACGUUGGAUGGGCUAAGAUCAGUACUAUUCUUGUGGCAUUGCAUUUUUGAAAGCUAUUUGUACAGGAUCCCUGUAGACCAUAAUAAAAAACGUCUCAAUAUAUCUUAAUUUCAAUGAUGUGAGGACAGUGGCUGAGACCAGUACUUCAUGGCAUGAUCCACGGCUAAAGUAAUUACAGCAGUCCCUUGCAGCUAAACAUGUAGAUAUUGUAGAUGAAAUGUUUAUGCAUUUGUGUGAUUCUGGGGAAAAAAAAAAAAUUCUGUUUGGAAAUUCUGAAUAAUGGUUUUGAUUAAAUUAAUAUUGCAGAGA
Aquila chrysaetos chrysaetos is the source of this 14360-nucleotide long non-coding RNA. RefSeq lists it as uncharacterized. The transcript is spliced from 12 exons. NCBI's taxonomy places the organism in Eukaryota, Metazoa, Chordata, Aves, Accipitriformes, Accipitridae. The record is from RefSeq and is a predicted model, not a curated record.